RNAcentral lists this ribosomal RNA (454 nucleotides) under uncultured organism. RNAcentral describes it as "partial 16S ribosomal RNA". It matches the Rfam family "Bacterial small subunit ribosomal RNA", at positions 330 to 800 of the family's 1533-position model. The record is from RNAcentral.
CGUACACUCCUACGGGAGGCAGCAGUGGGGAAUAUUGGACAAUGGGCGCAAGCCUGAUCCAGCCAUGCCGCGUGAGUGAUGAAGGCCCUAGGGUUGUAAAGCUCUUUCACCGGUGAAGAUAAUGACGGUAACCGGAGAAGAAGCCCCGGCUAACUUCGUGCCAGCAGCCGCGGUAAUACGAAGGGGGCUAGCGUUGUUCGGAUUUACUGGGCGUAAAGCGCACGUAGGCGGACUAUUAAGUCAGUGGUGAAAUCCCGGGGCUCAACCCCGGAACUGCCUUUGAUACUGGUAGUCUUGAGUUCGAGAGAGGUGAGUGGAAUUCCGAGUGUAGAGGUGAAAUUCGUAGAUAUUCGGAGGAACACCAGUGGCGAAGGCGGCUCACUGGCUCGAUACUGACGCUGAGGUGCGAAAGCGUGGGGAGCAAACAGGAUUAGAAACCCCAGUAGUCCCAUGA